Long non-coding RNA from Sitodiplosis mosellana (orange wheat blossom midge), 509 nucleotides. RefSeq lists it as uncharacterized. The record is from RefSeq and is a predicted model, not a curated record. The transcript has 2 exons. Lineage: Eukaryota; Metazoa; Arthropoda; Insecta; Diptera; Cecidomyiidae.
AAUAUCACUGACCUAUGGCGUAGUAUUUUACGAUGAAUGUUCUUGUUGCGAAUCAAAUUCGCAAUGGAACUUGCCACAGUCUUGUUUGUCGCUUUGUCCUAAUUGAACCACUGAACAAUGGUCCAUAUCAUCAAAAUCGUACUAUUUUCCAUAAUUAAUUUAAUUCUGCUAUUAGAAUUUUGCGCUGGUAGAAAUGUGAAUGAGUGUUCUGCGGUGCCAUCGGAUGAUAUUUGUUCAUUUGGUGAAGGAAAUUGGGUAGAACGUUGGUAUUUUGAUACCAAAGCAAGGAAAUGCGAACACUUUCUCUACGAUAUUGAAUGUGGCAGUAGCAACGGAAAUAUUUUCCUCACCAAACAUAAAUGUGAAGUAAAAUGCUUGUGAUUAUUGAUUGUAAUCGCCGCUUUUCUUGGAAUUAUUGCGUAUCAACGGCGAAAACGUAUCACAUUCGAAUAUUCCAACGAGCAAAAAUUGUAUUUCAAUCAAAUAUGCAAUAAAAUUGAUUGUAAAAA